CCUACGGGAGGCAGCAGUGGGGAAUAUUGCACAAUGGGCGAAAGCCUGAUGCAGCAACGCCGCGUGAGCGAUGAAGGCCUUCGGGUCGUAAGCUCUGUCCUCAAGGAAGAUAAUGGCGGUACUUGAGGAGGAAGCCCCGGCUAACUACGUGCCAGCAGCCGCGGUAAU
Molecule: ribosomal RNA, 168 nt
Filed under: uncultured bacterium
Lineage: Bacteria
Description: partial 16S ribosomal RNA
Rfam family: Bacterial small subunit ribosomal RNA
Source: RNAcentral